CGUUCAUCGAGUGCGAUCAGUGCGAUCGAGUAUACCGAAAGAAAGGCCUACUCAGAUGAGCUCGAAUUCUUUCUAUACGAAAAAUCAUACAAACCACGGUUCAUCCAUGCAGUUGAAACAGAAGGGAAUGUUCUGCUUUUCCUGUUCACACCUGUGUUGAAAGUUGGAGGUUGUGGGUGCAGUACAAACAGAUGUGAUAAAUUGGUAUCAUCAAUGAUGACCUCAGAUGUGAAUCAACACUUCCUCUUUUCUGAACAGACAGUUGGUAUAUUACAGUGGACACUGAAAGCCUAAUAAACUGCUUGCAGCAAGGAAGACAUCUGUGAGAUGUAAAAACUAAACUACACCACCUGAGAGAUAUUUAAAAAAUGUGGAGCAAAGUGGGACAGGAGUUGUAUGUGUCUUGUAAGUAAAAAACUUCAUUUCACAUAUGGUCUUUGCUCGUGCAGUUAGGAUGGCUUCUCGUGAUAUGCUGUUGAUGUUAAAUUGCAUGAAGACGGUGUUUACACGCAGUACACUAAUAUAUCUGGAAGGGCAAGAUUAGUUAAUUCCAUGGAAGAUGCGGACAUCGAGGAAACAUGAUGCCAGCACUAUAUGCCUUUGCUUCGCCUGCCACCUACCGGUAUCAUCAUUCAACUCGCAGACUACAAUCCAAUAACGAAACCAAUUCUGCCUCAGCCUUUAAGCAGCUGUAAUUCCCGUGUACUUUGGCUGAGAUAACUGUUAAAUAUGUUUAUUUUUAGAAAAAAAAAGUACUGGUGUUCGUUCAGUUCCAGAAAGUAGAAACUUUAAAAUAUGUUUUCAAUAUUGUGGUGAGGAAAGUGACAUAACUGAUGUACAGAAUUUAUUUACGUGUUUGUACUUUUGACGAAGUAGGCUGUACAUAUUAGAUAAAAAAUUAUAUUAAUUUGUACGGGAAAUGAGAGGGAAAGUUUCUGAUGAAGGUGGAUGUUUUAUUAUUAAGAUCAUACGGCAAAAAUUGUUUAGGUUUGUUUGGACAGGUAUUAGCUAUGAAUUUCAGAUUUACCGGCGACAUGGAGUAG
Non-coding RNA from Zootermopsis nevadensis, 1043 nucleotides. NCBI's taxonomy places the organism in Eukaryota, Metazoa, Arthropoda, Insecta, Blattodea, Termopsidae. The record is from RefSeq and is a predicted model, not a curated record.